This 278-nucleotide small RNA is filed under the name Pan troglodytes (chimpanzee). Its description in RNAcentral is "processed transcript". The record is from RNAcentral. Lineage: Eukaryota; Metazoa; Chordata; Mammalia; Primates; Hominidae.
CCUUCAUCUCUGAAAAAAGACAUGCUAGUUAAAUUUCAAGAUGUUUUACUUAGAAGAUGACAAGGAAGAUGAGGAGGUUUGUAAAGGCUCAUUAAGUAAAACUCAAGAUGUUUACCAUGACAAGUCCCCUCCUGGUAUCCUGGUCUCACUGCCACCCAGUCUGGAGUGCAGUGUAGGAGGCAACCUCUGCCUCCCAGGCUCAAGCAGUCCUUUCGCCUCAGCCUUCUAAGGAGCUAGGACCUCAGUUACGGCACCCUUGCUUCUGCCUCGGCUGACUU